UACGGAGGAUCCGAGUGUUAUCCGGAUUUAUUGGGUUUAAAGGGAGCGUAGGUGGAUUGUUAAGUCAGUUGUGAAAGUUUGCGGCUCAACCGUAAAAUUGCAGUUGAAACUGGCAGUCUUGAGUACAGUAGAGGUGGGCGGAAUUCGUGGUGUAGCGGUGAAAUGCUUAGAUAUCACGAAGAACUCCGAUUGCGAAGGCAGCCCACUGGACUGCAACUGACACUGAGGCUCGAAAGUGUGGGUAUCAAACAGG
RNAcentral lists this ribosomal RNA (253 nucleotides) under uncultured bacterium. Its description in RNAcentral is "partial 16S ribosomal RNA". It matches the Rfam family "Bacterial small subunit ribosomal RNA", at positions 524 to 776 of the family's 1533-position model. The record is from RNAcentral.